Molecule: long non-coding RNA, 392 nt
Filed under: Carica papaya (papaya)
Lineage: Eukaryota; Viridiplantae; Streptophyta; Magnoliopsida; Brassicales; Caricaceae
Description: long non-coding RNA (CPAP_LNC004022)
Source: RNAcentral
ACUUCAUGCAUGACCAGCAACAUAGAACAUAUCAUAAAUUCACAUUUAUUAACAAUAAACGAAAUCGUAACCGUUUCUCAUUUCACCAGCCUAUUAGUAUCUAUGGGGAUUCAUAGGAGUGUCCUUGCUACACGUGAACCCUUUCCCUUAAUAGUCUUAAUUACAUAGCCGAUCCCAUACCUCGUCCAGUAUGAGCACCAAGACAUUAAACCCCAAUACCCCGUCCGGUAUGAGGGUGAAGUGGGUCAUCCCCAUACCCUGUCCGGUAUGAGUGCCAAAUUACCAAGUCUCCAUACCCCGUCCGAUAUGAGACAACGUUUACGGUAGAGUUCUCUAUGAACCCAGUCCGUCCACCAUCUCCCAGGAUAUCUAGUGAGGCUGUCAUCUUAUUA